AUAUCUCUCCGUACGGGAAGGAUGAGAAGCUUCGACUAAGGUUCGAUUCGAGCGCAGCGAGAAAGCGUUGCCGCAGGCAACGACCCGAAGGGCGAAGC
RNAcentral lists this small RNA (98 nucleotides) under Salmonella enterica. RNAcentral describes it as "partial RtT sRNA". It matches the Rfam family "RtT RNA", at positions 1 to 97 of the family's 130-position model. From Rfam's summary of the family: This family represents a bacterial cis-regulatory element known as RtT RNA. The exact function of RtT is unknown although it is thought that it may be involved in changing the cellular response in relation to amino acid starvation. Lineage: Bacteria; Pseudomonadati; Pseudomonadota; Gammaproteobacteria; Enterobacterales; Enterobacteriaceae. RNAcentral also lists the same sequence under 2 other names. The record is from RNAcentral.